GGAGAAGGUCAGAGAGUGAAUUCCAAGGUGCUACAUUUGUAGCAUGGGGGUGAAGGUGUACAAGGUGUAGCAUUUGUAGCUACCCCGUAUUUCCCACAAGGGUAGCAUGUCCUGCACUCCAUCAGUAGCCAAGGAAGGCCUCCCCAAGGAGGUGACAUUUGAGCAGAGACCAGUGAAAUGAGAAAGUAAGUAAAUGAGGGAGAGCAGCAAGUGCAAAGGCUGUGGGGUGAAAACAAAUGUGGCAUGUUCUAGGACCUGCAAGUAGACCCUCGUGACAGGGAAAGUGAACAGAGAAGAGAGUGCUAGCAGAUGAGGUUGGAUGACUGGGCAGGUAUCUUGAAGGUCAUGCCAAGGAGUCUGCAUUUUAUGCUAGGUGGGAUGGGAAGCCAUGGGAGAGCUUUGAGCAGGGGAGCGACAGGCUCUGAUUAGGUUUGGACUAGGCUCCUUCUGGUUGCAGGGUAGAGACCAGAAUCGAGGAAGAUCGGAGUGGAAGAAAAUGGAGCUGGUGUCUCAGUGAAGACAUGCCCAGAGAUGCCCAAAGAUGCCCAAUGGAUGAGCUGCUGCAACCUGUCUCAGCCAUGGGGGAUGGGAGAGGAAAGUGGAGAAAGGACAAAAAAAAAAAAAAACGAGUAGAGAGAAAAGAAGUGAAUAUGUAAUGCAAAAAUUAAAAUUACCUGAUAAGUCAGGACAUGGGAAGUUCUGCCUCCCUAAUGGGGACCCAGGAAGAUGUAGGAAGAGAAGUAAAGCCACUUUCUAAGGACAUGGAGAAAUUCAGAACACCAAGCCGCCCAGGUUUCCUGGCUCCCAGUCUUGGCACACAGUGCUCCACCUUGCUGGGUAAUUCAGGGCCCUGGAGUGACUUUCUUUGAAGCUGGUGUCCACUCACUCUUUCUCUCCAGAGCUUUGGCCAGCUAGCCCCAGAAAUCUUCCAGUGGCCCAUCAGAGAGCAAGCUGGCAGAGCUGUCACUCCCGCCAUGGAAGUCAGCACAUAAAACAUUCUACUGUGGAAAUCAGAAAAAGCAAGAUUAUCUUAGGAGAAACACAAUCUCUCGUCUUAAAGAUGAAAGGACUGCACCUUGAGAGGCCCUUCCUGUUGAGUUGUCAUCUGAACAAAUCAGAGUGGUGGUUGAGGACACCAGAUGUAUUAUUUCCUGCCACAGCAAAUUGGAGGGCUCGCACUGUUCCACCGCCAUCAACUUAGGAAGCAAUUGAAUUUGUUGAUUAUCUUUGCAAGAGGGAGAAGCUUAGCAUCAAUGAAGACAUUGGUAUUUGGAUAGAGGACUUCAUCAACAAGGUUCUUUCAUCUUCCUUAGUUGUUUGGAUCCUUAAGCCUGCCUUGAAAGAAGAGGGAGAAGGCUUCAGGGGAAAUGCUCCCCGCGCUGACCCACAGGAUGGCUUCCUUCAACAAAUGCAGCCACCUUUGAUUGGCUGCCUGCUACAAGAGAAACAUCAGGAGGUACGUAUUGCCAUGGGGGGAACUGAAGAUGGAGGACCCCUCAUUUGUGGAAUUGGGAACGGGCUUUGGGUCACAUGAGGCUCAUCCCUGAUGAGCUAGAACGUGGAAGUUACCUGAAUCCAGAAACCGAUAUUAGGCUCUGUAAUGGACAUGCAGAGGAAGAAGGACCUGUUGCCACGUCUACAGAGGGGUCAGGAAAGACACACUUGGAAUGACCCUAAGAAACCAUGGGCAAGUCUCCAUUUUUUUCCCUCAGCCAAAUCUGUAUGCACUGGUACAGCCAUACCAAUUAUUAAAAUAUUGAAAAACUUCUGUGUCCCUUGGGAAACAGCCACUACCAUGAGCCCCACUACUGCCCUUCUCUCCUGGCAUGUUCAGACCUCCCUGAGUCCAGCAAUGAAAGGGUUAACACUUGCCCCAGCAGAGGGCCUCUGGGAGCCAGCUCCUGCCUUCAGAGCUGUCUGUUAAGACUGGUCUAGGACUAGAUUCAUUCUUACUGUUUUUAAAUAGCUUGAAUGUCACCUCCAGAUGAAGCUCCCCAAACGGAAUGAGACAUCUAAAUAGAGCCACAUGGGGUCCAUCUGGGGUGGCUCCCCAGAGGACAAAUUUUGCAAAGGAAAUCUGAUGGGGUAAGAGAUGCAAUUUAGUGGCUAGGAGAGUGAGGG
Molecule: long non-coding RNA, 2121 nt
Filed under: Homo sapiens (human)
Lineage: Eukaryota; Metazoa; Chordata; Mammalia; Primates; Hominidae
Description: HSALNT0046993
Source: RNAcentral